RNAcentral lists this ribosomal RNA (221 nucleotides) under uncultured bacterium. RNAcentral's name for it is "partial 16S ribosomal RNA". It matches the Rfam family "Bacterial small subunit ribosomal RNA", at positions 521 to 741 of the family's 1533-position model. The record is from RNAcentral.
UAAUACGUAGGGGGCUAGCGUUGUCCGGAAUCAUUGGGCGUAAAGAGCGCGUAGGCGGCCAGAUAAGUCCGGUGUGAAAGUCACAGGCUCAACCUGUGAAUGCCGCUGGAAACUGUCUGGCUAGAGUCCGGAAGGGGCGAGUGGAAUUCCUGGUGUAGCGGUGAAAUGCGCAGAUAUCAGGAGGAACACCAAUGGCGAAGGCAGCUCGCUGGAACGGUACU